Molecule: ribosomal RNA, 487 nt
Filed under: Bemisia tabaci
Lineage: Eukaryota; Metazoa; Arthropoda; Insecta; Hemiptera; Aleyrodidae
Description: partial 16S ribosomal RNA
Source: RNAcentral
UCGCCUGUUUACCAAAACUUAUUUUAAAGAAAAAAAAUUUUAGAUAAAUUCUGCUCAAUGAGUAAGUUAAAUAGCUGCAGUAAAUUAACUGUACUAAGGUAGCAUAAUAAGUUGCUUUAUAAUUAAAAGCUUGAAUGAAAGAAAUAAUGUGAAAGAAGCUUUUUAAACUAAAAUAGUGAAAAUUAAUAUUUAAGUGAAAAAUCUUAAAUAGAAUCAAAAGACAAGAAGACCCUUUAGAACUUUACAAAUUGAUUUAAUAUCAUUUAGUUAAUUUGUUAAAUUGGGGAGAUUUUUAAAUAAAUAAAUCUUUAGAUAUAAAAAAAUGAUUUAAAUCAGAUUAAAUUAUCCAAAUGUGAAAUAAAACAAGUUACCUAAGGGAUAACAGCGCAAAAUUUUUGAGAAGUUCUCAUUUACAAAAUAAAUUGCGACCUCGAUGUUGGAUUAAGAACAACUUAUAAAGAAAAAUUAUAAGAGUGUUGUCGUCACA